UUGAGAUGUAGGUUAUAAGAUU
Molecule: microRNA, 22 nt
Filed under: Xenopus laevis (African clawed frog)
Lineage: Eukaryota; Metazoa; Chordata; Amphibia; Anura; Pipidae
Description: xla-miR-5175
Source: RNAcentral